ACCCCAGAAAGCCACAGGGGCAGAGAGAUAGCAAGUUUAGUCUGUUGCCUGUGCGUAGAGAACCACACAUAGCUUGCUGGUUGGAGGGAACAAAGCGAGGAGUUUCGGUUUGUUUUCUGGGUAGUUUUCUCUGUGGUUAGAUAUUACAGGAGAAAUGAAGAUGUGCAAAACUAUACUUCCUUGUAUUCUAUUACUGUCAGGUUUAGUAGUCAUGAUGGGAGCGGCACCAGAACAUCACGGAGGACGACCGCUCUCAGACAUGGUGGGAAGCGGUGGCAACUGUAACGGAAGGCGACUGUCUCAGACACGAUGGGAGAGACAGUGGGGCCCGUCACAAAAAGGCGACCAUCCCAGGUACCCACGAAGACUGUGGCGCCCACCACAGAGGCAACCGUCAUGGAGGCGGCAGGGAGACAAGUGGCACCCAUCUGGAGGCGACCAUCCCAGACACGUCAGGGAAGAUGGUGACGCCUGUCACAGAAGCAACCAUCACAGUGGUGACGGGAGAGACCAGUGGCGCCCGUCACAGAGACGACCAUCCCAGACACGUCAGGGAAGAUGGUGACGCCUGUCACGGGGGCAACCAUCACGGAGGCGGCAGGAGAGAUGGUGGCGACCAUCCUAGACAAGCUAGGGAAGACAGUGGCGCCCAGUCACAAAGGCGACUGUCUCAGGCAUGCAAGGGAAGAUGGUGGCACCUGUCACAGAAACAACCGUCGUACAGGUGACGGGAGAGACAGUGGCGCCCGUCACAGAGACGACCAUCCAGACACGUCAGGGAAGAUGGUGACGCCUGUCACGGAGGCAACCAUCAUGGCGGCGGCAGGAGAGCGGUGGCAACCAUCCUAGACAAGCUAGGGAAGACAGUGGCGCCAGUCCACAAAGGCAACCAUCCCCAGUCAUGAGAACGACCUAGGCUUGGACAUAAAGAAAUCUCAACUUCAGGGCUGCCAUCGAUAAAAGCUUCUCAAGUUCUACAAUGAAAAUAAGUAGAGAAUCAACUCUGUUUUUCAAGGUCUACUGCUACAACUAACUUUGGCGGACAAUAUGUUAGUCAAAUCAAACUUGAACAACCCGACUUCUGGUCCAGUCAUGACAGAAAUGAAGAGAUAAUCAUGAAUGUGACCACCCCAGAUGAGGCAGGGGAGAAGAAGGCACCCGUCACGGAGGAGGCUUCCCCAGAGAAAGAACGGCAAUCAUCUAGACUAGUAUG
This is a long non-coding RNA of Gopherus evgoodei (Goodes thornscrub tortoise), 1213 nucleotides long. RefSeq lists it as uncharacterized. The transcript is spliced from 4 exons. The record is from RefSeq and is a predicted model, not a curated record. Lineage: Eukaryota; Metazoa; Chordata; Testudines; Testudinidae.